Molecule: long non-coding RNA, 182 nt
Organism: Rosa rugosa (rugosa rose)
Lineage: Eukaryota; Viridiplantae; Streptophyta; Magnoliopsida; Rosales; Rosaceae
Exons: 3
Source: RefSeq, a predicted model, not a curated record
GUCGAAAUCGAGCCUUGCCGGAUUCUGCAAAUUUUCGCCGGAUUCUGGAAAUUUUCCGGCCACCUCGACUGUUUUAGGUGAUUGACGGUCUUCCUUGGGUGAGCGGUUUCGGUGUGUAUUGUGUUAAAUUGAAGACGCAGCGGGAAUAUCGAGCGGGUAAUCCUGCAGGUCAGGAGAAUCAG